This 492-nucleotide ribosomal RNA is filed under the name uncultured bacterium. RNAcentral's name for it is "partial 16S ribosomal RNA". It matches the Rfam family "Bacterial small subunit ribosomal RNA", at positions 29 to 507 of the family's 1533-position model. The record is from RNAcentral.
AGUGAACGCUGGCGGUAGGCCUAACACAUGCAAGUCGAACGGCAGCACAGUAAGAGCUUGCUCUUACGGGUGGCGAGUGGCGGACGGGUGAGGAAUACAUCGGAAUCUACUUUUUCGUGGGGGAUAACGUAGGGAAACUUACGCUAAUACCGCAUACGACCUACGGGUGAAAGCAUGGGAUCUUCGGACCUUGCGCGAUUGAAUGAGCCGAUGUCGGAUUAGCUAGUUGGCGGGGUAAAGGCCCACCAAGGCGACGAUCCGUAGCUGGUCUGAGAGGAUGAUCAGCCACACUGGAACUGAGACACGGUCCAGACUCCUACGGGAGGCAGCAGUGGGGAAUAUUGGACAAUGGGCGCAAGCCUGAUCCAGCCAUACCGCGUGGGUGACGAAGGCCUUCGGGUCGUAAAGCCCUUUUGUUGGGAAAGAACAGCAGCAGGUUAAUACCCCGCUGUUCUGACGGUACCCAAAGAAUAAGCACCGGCUAACUUCGUG